UACGUAGGUGGCAAGCGUUGUCCGGAAUUAUUGGGCGUAAAGCGUGCGCAGGCGGUUCUCCAAGUCCGUUGUGAAAGCCCCGGGCUCAACCUGGGAAUGGCAGUGGAAACUAGGGGACUGGAAUCUGGCAGAGGGGGGUGGAAUGCCGCGUGUAGCAGUGAAAUGCGUAGAGAUGCGGCGGAACACCGAUGGCGAAGGCAGCCCCCUGGGCUGAGAUUGACGCUCAGGCACGAAAGCGUGGGGAGCAAACAGG
This 253-nucleotide ribosomal RNA is filed under the name uncultured bacterium. RNAcentral describes it as "partial 16S ribosomal RNA". It matches the Rfam family "Bacterial small subunit ribosomal RNA", at positions 524 to 776 of the family's 1533-position model. The record is from RNAcentral.